UUUUUGAAAAUAAUUUAAAGUAUGGCCUGCCCACUGAAAAUUUUGAAGGGCCGCAGUAUUUUGACUGUGCAAAGGUAGCAUAAUCAUUAGUUUUUUAAUUGAAAGCUGGAAUGAAUGGUUUAAUGAAAAAAUGACUGUCUCAAUUUAAUUUUUUUAGAACUUUAUUUUUAAGUUAAAAAGCUUAAAUAAAUUUAAAAGACGAGAAGACCCUAUAGAGUUUAAUUAUUAAGAAAAUAAAUUGAUUUAUAGAAAUUAUUUUAUUUAUUUUUUAAAUAAUUUGGUUGGGGUGACUAAAAAAUUAAAUAAACUUUUUUUAAUUUAUUACAUAGAUUAAUGAAUAUUUGAUCCAAUAUUUUUUGAUUAAAAGAUUAAAUUACCUUAGGGAUAACAGCGUAAUUUUCUUUAAAAGUUCAAAUUUAAAGGAAAGAUUGCGACCUCGAUGUUGGAUUAAAAUUUAUUUUUGGUGUAGGUGCUAAAACAUUAGGUCUGUUCGACCUUUAAAAUUUUACA
This 510-nucleotide ribosomal RNA is filed under the name Exochomus quadripustulatus (pine ladybird). RNAcentral describes it as "partial large subunit ribosomal RNA". It matches the Rfam family "Bacterial large subunit ribosomal RNA", at positions 1830 to 2600 of the family's 2925-position model. The record is from RNAcentral. Lineage: Eukaryota; Metazoa; Arthropoda; Insecta; Coleoptera; Coccinellidae.